UACGAAGGGGACUAGCGUUGUUCGGAAUUAUUGGGCGUAAAGAGCUCGUAGGCGGUUUGUCGCGUCGAAUGUGAAAACCCGGGGCUCAACCCCGGGCCUGCAUUCGAUACGGGCAGACUAGAGUUCGGUAGGGGAGUCUGGAAUUCCUGGUGUAGCGGUGAAAUGCGCAGAUAUCGGGAAGAACACCCGUGGCGAAGGCGGCUCUCUGGGACGGUACUGACGCUGAGACGCGAAAGCGUGGGGAGCGAACAGG
RNAcentral lists this ribosomal RNA (253 nucleotides) under uncultured bacterium. Its description in RNAcentral is "partial 16S ribosomal RNA". It matches the Rfam family "Bacterial small subunit ribosomal RNA", at positions 524 to 776 of the family's 1533-position model. The record is from RNAcentral.